UCUCUCUCUCUCUCUUCGAAUCUGUGUAAUUUUAUUUUUUUUUGAGUAAGGAUUUGUUCGAGAAAUUGUGUGGACUGUAAGUAUUUCUAGUGGGGUUUGUUAGGCAACUGAGAAUUUUAGUUUUUUCGAGUUAGGGUUUGAUCUGGGUAGAAUUAAUGGACUGUUAAUGAUCUGGGAAUUUUUUUGGAGUCUGUAUAUAUUUUUUAAUCUCUCUCGAUUUAUCGAUCUGGAGCUCUCUAUAUAGUAGGGUUCUUUACUAUUUCUUUUGAUUUUUUCCGCUGGUCCUAAAUCUUAUGUUUGUUGAAGGGGUUCAACUUGUUGCUCCUUGUACAGAGAAAUUAUAGCAGGCUUAUGAUUGAAUCUGUCCAUUUCUUCAUUUACAAUACAUACGUUUUAAGAAAGUUGUAACUUGUUUUCCUACCAAACUUUGUCUCUGGUGAUCAAUUUUGGGUCCUAACAUAGGAAAAGAGUUGGUUAAAUACUAAGAAUUUGAAUCCCGUCUGAUUUGUUUUCCUUUUCCUUUCACGCUAUAUCUUACUUUUCCGCUGAUGUUAUGUCUACUGGGCGGGAGAGAAAAGAUCAAAAGUUGCAUCAAAGUGCCUUGAACUGGAAUAUGCAUUUAGAAGCUGAAAUGGAGUGAUGCCUUUCAAAUUGUAAAUGAGCAAGGAUGGUGCUGACCGUGCUGCUAUCUCCAGGCUAAUCUGUGAACAUGUGAGAGCAUGCUUGUGUGGUUGAAGGAACAUGACCCCCUCUCGUGACAAUAUUAGGCUAUGUAAUGCUUUGGUCCAAGGCUAUCCCCUUGCCCUGGCUCCUUCUUGGUUGGUUAACUGCCAAAAAAAGAAAGAAAAAUAAUUUGCAUCCAUGUAAUGUUGGGACCUCUCUGGUCAUUGUACUUAACCAUGCAAUUGUGUGAUUUGUACAGAAUUUGUAUGUGACACCUCAUAAUUUACAUCUCUCUUCAGAAAGUUUUGAUCUU
Rhododendron vialii is the source of this 976-nucleotide long non-coding RNA. RefSeq lists it as uncharacterized. Lineage: Eukaryota; Viridiplantae; Streptophyta; Magnoliopsida; Ericales; Ericaceae. The record is from RefSeq and is a predicted model, not a curated record. The transcript has 2 exons.